GGGGAGAUGGCUUAGUUGAUAAAGUGCUUGAAUUGCAAGCAUGAGAAUCUAAGUUUGAUCCUUAGAGUCCCUG
This 73-nucleotide transfer RNA is filed under the name Neotoma lepida (desert woodrat). It matches the Rfam family "tRNA". From Rfam's summary of the family: Transfer RNA (tRNA) molecules are approximately 80 nucleotides in length. Their secondary structure includes four short double-helical elements and three loops (D, anti-codon, and T loops). Lineage: Eukaryota; Metazoa; Chordata; Mammalia; Rodentia; Cricetidae. The record is from Rfam by way of RNAcentral.